GCGCUGCUAGCUCAAUGGUAGAGCAUCGGACUCUUAAUCCGCUGGUUGAAGGUUCGAGUCCUUCGCGGCGCA
RNAcentral lists this transfer RNA (72 nucleotides) under Leptolyngbya sp. FACHB-261. It matches the Rfam family "tRNA". From Rfam's summary of the family: Transfer RNA (tRNA) molecules are approximately 80 nucleotides in length. The record is from Rfam by way of RNAcentral. Lineage: Bacteria; Bacillati; Cyanobacteriota; Cyanophyceae; Leptolyngbyales; Leptolyngbyaceae.